UACGUAGGGUGCAAGCGUUGUCCGGAAUUAUUGGGCGUAAAGAGCUCGUAGGCGGUUCGUCGCGUCGGCUGUGAAAUCCCGAGGCUCAACCUCGGGUCUGCAGUCGAUACGGGCGGACUGGAGUACUGCAGGGGAGACUGGAAUUCCUGGUGUAGCGGUGAAAUGCGCAGAGAUCAGGAGGAACACCGGUGGCGAAGGCGGGUCUCUGGGCAGUUACUGACGCUGAGGAGCGAAAGCGUGGGGAGCGAACAGG
RNAcentral lists this ribosomal RNA (253 nucleotides) under uncultured bacterium. RNAcentral's name for it is "partial 16S ribosomal RNA". It matches the Rfam family "Bacterial small subunit ribosomal RNA", at positions 524 to 776 of the family's 1533-position model. The record is from RNAcentral.